AUGCCCGCCAGCAGCUCGGCCGGCAAGACCUUCAUCUGCAACGUAGCCCACCCGGCCAGCAGCACCAAGGCGGACAAGCGUGUGGGCAAGAGGACAGGCCUCAGGGAGGGCGUCCACUCCCAGACAGGACCGAGUAACCCCCCAUCUGCUCUCUCUGCAGCGCUCCACAGCGAAGACCACAGCUCCCAGUGUCCCAAAUGCCCAGCCCCUGAGCUCCUUGGAGGGCCCACGGUCUUCAUCUUCCCCCCGAAACCCAAGGACGUCCUCUCCAGCACCCGAACACCUGAGGUCACGUGCCUUGUGGUGGACGUGGGUAAGGAAGACCCUGAGAUUGAGUUCAGCUUGUCCGUGGAUGACACAGAGGUACACACGGCUGAGACAAAGCCAAAGGAGGAACAGUUCAACAGCACGUACCGCGUGGUCAGCGUCCUGCCCAUCCAGCACCAGGACUGGCUGACGGGGAAGGAGUUCAAGUGCAAGGUCAACAACAAAGCUCUCCCGGCCCCCAUCGAGAGGACCAUCUCCAAGGCCAAAGGGCAGGCCCGGGAGCCGCAGGUGUACACCCUGGCCCCACACCAGGAAGACCUGGCCAAGGACACUGUGAGCGUAACCUGCCUGAUCAAAGGCUUCUACCCACCUGACAUCAACGCUGAGUGGCAGAGGAACGGGCGGCCGGAGGCAGAGGGCGCCUACGCCACCACGCUGCCCCAGCCGGACAACGCCGGGACCUGCUUCCUCCACAGCAAGCUCUCGGUGGGAAAGAACACGUGGCAGCGGGGAGAAGUCUUCACCUGUGUGGCGAUGCACGAGGCUCUACACAAUCACUCCACCCAGAAAUCCAUCUCCCAGUCUCCGGGUAAAUGA
Non-coding RNA from Camelus dromedarius (Arabian camel), 864 nucleotides. The record is from the annotation of a RefSeq genome assembly. Lineage: Eukaryota; Metazoa; Chordata; Mammalia; Artiodactyla; Camelidae.